GUCUACAGCCAUACCACCCUAAACCUGCCCAACCUCAUAUGGUCUUGAAAGCUAAGCAGGGUCCGGCCUGGUUGGUAUUUGGAUGAAAAACAAAUCUUCAGAAGCGAAUGCUCAGAGACAGUUUGGAGACA
RNAcentral lists this ribosomal RNA (131 nucleotides) under Castor canadensis (American beaver). The record is from RNAcentral. Lineage: Eukaryota; Metazoa; Chordata; Mammalia; Rodentia; Castoridae.